RNAcentral lists this long non-coding RNA (1108 nucleotides) under Lathyrus oleraceus (garden pea). RNAcentral's name for it is "Pisum sativum (pea) long non-coding RNA (PSAT_LNC035340)". Lineage: Eukaryota; Viridiplantae; Streptophyta; Magnoliopsida; Fabales; Fabaceae. The record is from RNAcentral.
UUUAAUGGAAAUUAAUAGAACGAAUGAUUAUUACUGGAUUACAAAGUAUCCAUUGCUGGGAAUUCAAAUUUGAUUUCCUUCCAGACUUCACAAGCAGCAGCUAAUUCAGGACUCCAUUUGCAAGCUUCACGGAUAAUUGCAUUACCCUCGCGAGCAAGAUCACGUCCCUCAUUCCGAGCUUGUACACAUGCUUCCAGAGCUACUCGAUUCGCUACGGCACCAGGUGCAUUUCCCCAAGGGUGUCCUAAAGUUCCUCCACCGAAUUGGAGUACAGAAUCAUCUCCAAAUAUCUCGGUCAGAGCAGGCAUAUGCCAAACGUGAAUACCCCCUGAAGCAACAGGGAUAACACCUGGUAAAGAAACCCAAUCCUGAGUGAAAUAAAUACCGCGACUUCUAUCUUUUUUAAUAUAAUCAUCACGUAGUAAAUCAACAAAACCUAAAGUAAUCUCCCUUUCUCCUUCAAGUUUACCUACUACAGUACCAGCGUGAAUAUGAUCUCCACCAGACAAACGUAAGGCUUUANUAGAAUCAAAAUGAAGGACCAACUUAUUUAGGGACAGUAGUUAUUUGUGUAUUACUAUAGUUUUAAAUUAUUAUUAUUUUUUUACAUAUUUUUCAUAUUUCUAUUUCACUUUGAAUAAAAAAAAAACUUCUUGUUUGUAUCAAACAAAAUACAACGAAUCCACCAUUAAGAUUAAGUAAAAAAACCUAUCUGACAUGAGUCAAUCGAUCCAUUUAUUCACGAUCAGAUUAUAUUUGUUUGAUACACUAUUGUCAAUAUUAGUGUUGAAUAUAAAAAACAAGUAUUGUGUAUAGUAUUCGGCUCAAUCCUUUUAGUAAAAGAUUGGGCCGAGUUUAAUGGAAAUUAAUAGAAUGAAUGAUUAUUACUGGAUUACAAAGUAUCCAUUGAUGGGAAUUCAAAUUUGAUUUCCUUCCAGACUUCACAAGCAGCAGCUAAUUCAGGACUCCAUUUGCAAGCUUCACGGAUAAUUGCAUUACCCUCGCGAGCAAGAUCACGUCCCUCAUUCUGAGCUUGUACACAUGCUUCCAGAGCUACUCGAUUCGCUACGGCACCAGGUGCAUUUCCCCAAGGGUGUCCUAAAGUUCC